GGGAGAACCAUUCGGAUCAGAAGCUUUGAAGUAGAAUUACAUAAGAAUUCUGAACAGAUACUAGAGGACACGGCGGAGAGAGAAGGAGAUCGAGAGACAAAGAGGGAGAGAGAAGGCGAGAUAAGUAGGAGGGGACCUGAGCCCUAGGACCAUGCCUCAGGACUACCUGGUAUGAUGACUCCUUGCUGUCCCCAGUCCACCUGGCCGUGCUGCUGCUCCAGUUUCAACUGUUCUGCCUGCGGCUAUGGAACCCUGACCUGUUCACCGGACGUGCUUGUUGCACCCUCGACAACUACUAUGAUUAUUAUUAUUUGACCAUGCUGGUCAUUUAUGAACAUUUUAACAUUUUGACCAUGUUCUGUUAUAAUAUCCACCCUGCACAGCCAGAAGAGGACUGGCCACCCCUCAUAGCCUGGUUCCUCUCUAGGUUUCUUCCUAGGUUUUUGGCCUUUCUAGGGAGUUUUUCCUAGGGAGUUUUUCCUAGCCACCGUGCUUCUUUCACAUGCUUUGCUUGCUGUUUGGGGUUUUAGGCUGGGUUUCUGUACAGCACUUUGAGAAUAUCAGCUGAUGUACGAAGGGCUAUAUAAAAAUAAAUUUGAUUUGAUUUGAAAUUUGAAUAAAG
This 622-nucleotide long non-coding RNA is filed under the name Salmo salar (Atlantic salmon). RNAcentral's name for it is "lncRNA (ENSSSAG00000116227.1)". The record is from RNAcentral. Lineage: Eukaryota; Metazoa; Chordata; Actinopteri; Salmoniformes; Salmonidae.